RNAcentral lists this long non-coding RNA (561 nucleotides) under Bos indicus x Bos taurus (hybrid cattle). RNAcentral describes it as "lncRNA (ENSBIXG00005015649.1)". Lineage: Eukaryota; Metazoa; Chordata; Mammalia; Artiodactyla; Bovidae. The record is from RNAcentral.
CUGAUGGGCUCCUGCCCCCACUCACCCUCAACAGGAGGACAGCAGGGGGAUCUGGAGUUUGUGCUUCUAAUCACCAGGCUACACUGCCCUGCUGGUGUGGGGGCCUGAAAGGAAUUUGUCCUGUGGGUCACUAUAAAGGAACAUUGGGCAACGUUGGGCUUCCACAGCCCGGAGCAAGGCCACAGUCAAUGGUAGCCUGGAGAAAUGUUCAAGGUGUUGUUGCCAACUGUCUACUGAUGUCACGAAAAAGCUCAAUGCAACAGCCCGGGAGUAUUUAGUUUUCAGUAGGCUAACUUAGGUGAGUCCUUGGCCACAAACAGUUGCAAAAUGCUGUUCUUCCGGGUCAUAAUAUCCUGCCAGAAGGAAUCCUGCCUCGCAACCAGAAAUCACCCAUCUGGGGAGAAUUCUCUGCUCCUUCUGCAACCUGAAAGGCAUCUAUCUACUGGAGGACGAGCCCCUCAGCUGGUAUUCAGAACACAUUUUACUUCCAUCAUGGCUGCCCCUUGUUUAAUUAUAGUGGUGACUUUGAAGAACAUUCUGGAAUACAUUUUAUCGUCCUAA